GCACCAUUCCUUAAAAACAACAUCUGAAGAAUCCCUUUUUGUUCCUAUACUUUCAGAUAUGUCCUCUGACAACCAAAUUCCUCUGUCACUCUAAACAUGCACAGACCCUGUCAUUUUCCUUUAUUAAGCAGAGGGCAAAAGUAUUAAGGAUUUUAUAACACCUUUUAUUAAAAUAUUGAAGGAACUUCCAACAUUAGCUUUGGAGCUGUGCUUACUGGCUUAUGUUUCUGUCUGGUCGAACAAACCUUGACCUCCAGACAGUCCCUUCUCGCUUGUAUUGCUCUCCAGGACUGGAAAACGUGCUGCUAUUCUAACUUGCUCUUGCUUUUAAACCCUAAUCUUAGAAUUAUCAAAAGAAGGAAAACUAAAGGUACUUUAUUCCCAUUAGAGAAACUAUUGCCGUCAUUGUAGCAAGUGCUGGAAUGUCCCUUUUUUCCUAUGCAAACUUUUUUUAACCCUUUAAUGAACUUAUCUGUUGAGUACAUUGAAAAAUAUUUUUCUUCCUAGAUUUUGUUGUUUAAAUUAUGGGGCCUAACCUGCAACUUAUUUUUUGUCAAUUUUUUAAACUUUUUUUUAAUUACUGUAAAGAAAAUGAAUUUUUUCCUGCAGCAGGAAACAUAGUUUUGAGUAGUUCUACCUCUUAUUUGUAGCUGCCAGGCUUUCUGUAAAAAUUGUAUUGUAUAUAAUGUGAUUUUU
This 696-nucleotide long non-coding RNA is filed under the name Bos taurus (domestic cattle). RNAcentral describes it as "long non-coding RNA NONBTAT022547". The record is from RNAcentral. Lineage: Eukaryota; Metazoa; Chordata; Mammalia; Artiodactyla; Bovidae.